Molecule: small RNA, 202 nt
Filed under: Frankia sp.
Lineage: Bacteria; Bacillati; Actinomycetota; Actinomycetes; Frankiales; Frankiaceae
Description: c-di-AMP sequence
Rfam family: c-di-AMP riboswitch aptamer (ydaO/yuaA leader)
About the family: This family represents a conserved RNA structure found upstream of the ydaO and yuaA genes in Bacillus subtilis and related genes in other bacteria.
Source: RNAcentral
UCGGGUGGCACGCCGAAUCCCGCCUCGCCCGGUGCUUCGACAUCCAGCAGGCGGGAGCGGGGGACCCAGGUUCCCGGGCGUCGUAGGCAGGCGUCCUUCGGGGUGAAGUCGCGCAGUGCGGCCGACUUGUCACGCACUGCGUGGCCGGGCUUUUCCGGCUCGAACCCGAAAGCUGACUUCGUAGGUGUGGGGAAGGGUAUUG